UUGUCCUUUGGCAGCAGGCGGAAGCGCUUUGGGACAAACAUUAAGUUUGCCAGCAGGCUAGAUGUGAAGAGCACGAGGUUUGCCGCUGGAACAAAUGGGACGAGGUGGAGAGUCACUUUUAAAAGUUAUUCUGUGACUGAUGAGUUUUUUAUUGGACAGGCCGAAAAGCCACAGAGUCUCAACAUUUAGAUGAGACAUGUCAACAAUGUAAGUGGACAGAGACCUCUUGUGACUGAUGAGAAAACAAUAACAAGGUGAGAUUAUUAUUUAUCUAAAUAACAACUAACUUUAAGAAAGAUAUUCUUGUUACUAAACUUUACAAACCUAACUUGUAGCAGAGCAAAAGUAUUUUAGCGUUAGUUUUCUGGAUGGAACUCAGGACAAUGGGCUCCAUAGACUCCAGACCCAGACUGCGUAAAGUUGCCCCAUGUAAUAGUUUGCAAGAAAAUGGAGAUGAGUCCAAACCACAGUGGACCCUCCCUGCUCUCCCACUGACAACGGAGCAGCCAUCAGGACCUUUGGGACGGAGGAAGACGACUUUACCUCCACUGAAACAAGAAAUAACUCUUUCUUCCCUCUCAGAACCGCGCUCUGCAGGAACCUUCCCAUCAAAACAAAGCGACAAUUCAAGCAUCAUUCAUUCUCAUCCCCCCAGAAGACCCCAGGCACUGCAACCGCUGGCCCUUCAAAUUGGCCACACACGCACUGCCAAUCAAAUUGCCAUGGUAAUGAAAAAAAAAGAAAAAUAUCUCUCUGACUGUCCCAGUAUCACCCUCAUGCCAUCUCAGAAUCCAGUAAGGAAUUUUGAUGUUUGUUGUAGGGCAGGAACUGCAGAGAUGGGGAUGUCCACCAGUUUUUUACAACCGGCCAGACAGGCACCAGCAGAAUGAUUCAGGGAGGAUUUCUGGAGGCCCAGAUAUCUCUCACUCAACAGACUCAUCAGCAUCGUCA
This is a long non-coding RNA of Amphiprion ocellaris (clown anemonefish), 951 nucleotides long. Lineage: Eukaryota; Metazoa; Chordata; Actinopteri; Pomacentridae. The record is from Ensembl.